Molecule: non-coding RNA, 411 nt
Organism: Echinops telfairi (small Madagascar hedgehog)
Lineage: Eukaryota; Metazoa; Chordata; Mammalia; Afrosoricida; Tenrecidae
Source: the annotation of a RefSeq genome assembly
AUGGAUUUUGGAUUGAGUUGGGUUUUUAUGCUGGCCAUUAUCUAUGGUGUCCAGUGUGAGGUGCAGCUGGUGGAAUCUGGAGGCGAUCUGAGAAAGCCUGGCGGGUCUCUGACACUCUCCUGUGCAACAUCUGGAUUCACCUUCAGUGACUAUUAUAUUAGUUGGAUUGGACAGUUUCCAGGACAGAGACUGGAGUGGGUUGGUUUUAUUAGAAAUGCAGCCAAUGGCCAAACAACAGAGUAUGCUUCAUCUGUGAAAGGCAGAUUCACCAUUUCAAGAGAUAAUGCCAAAAGCGUCGCCUAUUUGCAAAUGAAUGGACUGAAACAAGAGGACACAGCCAUGUAUUACUGUGUGAGACACACAGUGAAGUCUGCUCAGUGUAAGCCCAAACACAAACCUCACUUACAGUGA